ACCUCUUUUCAUUACAACAUUACAUGAACUUGGCACAAUACAAUAAUAUUUUAAACAACUCAAUCAAACAAAAUACUCCUAUCAAUAUCUUAAUCAACCUAAGCUCACUUCCUACACAAUCAACUUUAUCCAUCAACCUUGCCCUCCAAACCUCUUCUCUGCCCCUAUCCUUUGGCUUCUCCAUCAACCUUGCAUUUCUUCCAUCCAUCAUUUCUGAACACCGAAU
Molecule: long non-coding RNA, 226 nt
Filed under: Medicago truncatula (barrel medic)
Lineage: Eukaryota; Viridiplantae; Streptophyta; Magnoliopsida; Fabales; Fabaceae
Description: long non-coding RNA (MTRU_LNC002505)
Source: RNAcentral